GAUGAACGCUGGCGGCGUGCCUAACACAUGCAAGUCGAACGAAGCAUAUCGGACGGAGAUUCGUCGAAGACCGGUAUGACUUAGUGGCGGACGGGUGAGUAAUGUAUGAGCAACCUGCCUUUCAGAGGGGGACAACAGUUGGAAACGACUGCUAAUACCGCGUAAUGUAAUGAAGGGGCAUCCCUUUAUUACCAAAGGAUGCAAUCCGCUGAAAGAUGGGCUCAUAUCUGAUUAGCUGGUUGGCGGGGUAACGGCCCACCAAGGCGACGAUCAGUAGCCGGACUGAGAGGUUGAACGGCCACAUUGGGACUGAGAUACGGCCCAGACUCCUACGGGAGGCAGCAGUGGGGAAUAUUGGGCAAUGGGCGAAAGCCUGACCCAGCAACGCCGCGUGAAGGAAGAAGGUCUUCGGAUUGUAACUUCUUUUAUGAGGGACGAAGACGUGACGGUACCUCAUGAUAGCCACGGCUACUACGUGCAGCAGCGCGGUAUACGUAGGUGGCGAGCGUUAUCCGGAUUUACUGGGUGUAAGGGCGCGUAGCGGGGGGGCAGUCGAAGUGAAUCUAUGGGCUCACCUUACCGGCUUUGACUGUCUCUUCUGUCUGGGGAGGAUACAGAUCUCUUGUGGCGUGUGUGCCAUUAGGAACUUGGAAGGGUUUGAAUCUCUGGCACGGGGCGAGAUACGGGCGCGUC
This 693-nucleotide ribosomal RNA is filed under the name uncultured bacterium. RNAcentral describes it as "bacterial SSU rRNA". It matches the Rfam family "Bacterial small subunit ribosomal RNA", at positions 28 to 741 of the family's 1533-position model. The record is from RNAcentral.